CGCAAGUCGAGCGAGAAAUUUUCUUCGGAAAAGAGUAAAGCGGCGGACGGGUGAGUAACGCGUAGGAAUCUACCUAGUAGUGGGGGACAACAUGUGGAAACGCAUGCUAAUACCGCAUACGCCCUAUGGGGGAAAGCAGGGGAUCUUCGGACCUUGUGCUAUUAGAUGAGCCUGCGUCGGAUUAGUUUGUUGGUAGGGUAAUGGCCUACCAAGACUACGAUCCGUAGCUGGUCUGAGAGGAUGAUCAGCCACACUGGGACUGAGACACGGCCCAGACUCCUACGGGAGGCAGCAGUGGGGAAUAUUGGACAAUGGGCGCAAGCCUGAUCCAGCCAUGCCGCGUGUGGGAAGAAGGCUCUAGGGUUGUAAAGCACUUUCAGUAGGGAGGAAAAGUUAGUAGUUAAUAACUGCUAGCCCUGACGUUACCUACAGAAGAAGCACCGGCAAACUCCGUGCCAGCAGCCGCGGUAAUACGGAGGGUGCGAGCGUUAAUCGGAGUUACUGGGCGUAAAGCGCGCGUAGGCGGUUUGAUAAGCUGGAUGUGAAAGCCCCGGGCUCAACCUGGGAACUGCAUCCAGAACUGUCUGACUAGAAUACAAUAGAGGUGAGUGGAAUUUCCUGUGUAGCGGUGAAAUGCGUAGAUAUAGGAAGGAACAUCAGUGGCGAAGGCGACUCACUGGAUUGAUAUUGACGCUAAGGUGCGAAAGCGUGGGGAGCGAACAGGAUUAGAUACCCUGGUAGUCCACGCCGUAAACGAUGUCUACUAGCCGUUGGGAUCCUUGAGGUCUUGGUGGCGCAGCUAACGCAAUAAGUAGACCGCCUGGGGAGUACGGCCGCAAGGUUAAAACUCAAAUGAAUUGACGGGGGCCCGCACAAGCGGUGGAGCAUGUGGUUUAAUUCGAUGCAAC
RNAcentral lists this ribosomal RNA (908 nucleotides) under uncultured Gammaproteobacteria bacterium. Its description in RNAcentral is "bacterial SSU rRNA". It matches the Rfam family "Bacterial small subunit ribosomal RNA", at positions 56 to 960 of the family's 1533-position model. The record is from RNAcentral. Lineage: Bacteria; Pseudomonadati; Pseudomonadota; Gammaproteobacteria.